CCUACGGGUGGCUGCAGUGGGGAAUAUUGCACAAUGGGCGCAAGCCUGAUGCAGCCAUGCCGCGUGUGUGAAGAAGGCCUUCGGGUUGUAAAGCACUUUCAGCGGGGAGGAAGGCGGUGAGGUUAAUAACCUCAUCGAUUGACGUUACCCGCAGAAGAAGCACCGGCUAACUCCGUGCCAGCAGCCGCGGUAAUACGGAGGGUGCAAGCGUUAAUCGGAAUUACUGGGCGUAAAGCGCACGCAGGCGGCCUGUCAAGUCGGAUGUGAAAUCCCCGGGCUCAACCUGGGAACUGCAUUCGAAACUGGCAGGCUAGAGUCUUGUAGAGGGGGGUAGAAUUCCAGGUGUAGCGGUGAAAUGCGUAGAGAUCUGGAGGAAUACCGGUGGCGAAGGCGGCCCCCUGGACAAAGACUGACGCUCAGGUGCGAAAGCGUGGGGAGCAAACAGGAUUAGAUACCCCUGUAGUC
This 465-nucleotide ribosomal RNA is filed under the name uncultured Klebsiella sp. RNAcentral's name for it is "bacterial SSU rRNA". It matches the Rfam family "Bacterial small subunit ribosomal RNA", at positions 338 to 795 of the family's 1533-position model. The record is from RNAcentral. Lineage: Bacteria; Pseudomonadati; Pseudomonadota; Gammaproteobacteria; Enterobacterales; Enterobacteriaceae.